UUGACUCACAAAUGAUAAUAGUUAUUAUUAGCGCAACUGGUCGCGAGGCCAGCCGGUAAGCUGAGAGCGCCAAUGCAGUCGGACUCUUCAGGUUAUCUCCUCAUCAGGCUAAUCACGGUUUCGACCCGGCACCUCGCCGGGUCUUUUUUUG
Molecule: small RNA, 151 nt
Filed under: Pseudomonas panipatensis
Lineage: Bacteria; Pseudomonadati; Pseudomonadota; Gammaproteobacteria; Pseudomonadales; Pseudomonadaceae
Description: PrrF RNA
Rfam family: PrrF RNA
About the family: PrrF RNA is a small RNA involved in iron homeostasis and is found exclusively in Pseudomonas species. Their expression is induced under iron limitation by the ferric uptake regulator (Fur) and they act to negatively regulate several genes including sodB and sdh.
Source: Rfam by way of RNAcentral